RNAcentral lists this ribosomal RNA (464 nucleotides) under uncultured bacterium. RNAcentral's name for it is "partial 16S ribosomal RNA". It matches the Rfam family "Bacterial small subunit ribosomal RNA", at positions 28 to 507 of the family's 1533-position model. The record is from RNAcentral.
GACGAACGCUGGCGGCGUGCUUAACACAUGCAAGUCGAACGGAAAGGCCCUGCUUGCAGGGUCCUCGAGUGGCGAACGGGUGAGUAACACGUGGGUGAUCUGCCCUGCACUUCGGGAUAAGCCUGGGAAACUGGGUCUAAUACCGGAUAGGAGCCAUUUUUAGUGUGAUGGUUGGAAGGUUUUUUCGGUGUAGGAUGAGCUCGCGGCCUAUCAGCUUGUUGGUGGGGUAAUGGCCUACCAAGGCGGCGACGGGUAGCCGGCCUGCGAGGGUGGACGGCCACAUUGGUACUGAGAUACGGCCCAGACUCCUACGGGAGGCAGCAGUGGGGAAUAUUGCACAAUGGGCGCAAGCCUGAUGCAGCGACGCCGCGUGGGGGAUGACGGCCUUCGGGUUGUAAACUCCUUUCGCUAGGGACGAAGCUUUUGUGACGGUACCUAGAUAAGAAGCACCGGCUAACUACGUG